Molecule: ribosomal RNA, 427 nt
Filed under: uncultured bacterium
Lineage: Bacteria
Description: partial 16S ribosomal RNA
Rfam family: Bacterial small subunit ribosomal RNA
Source: RNAcentral
UGGGGAAUAUUGGACAAUGGGCGAAAGCCUGAUCCAGCCAUGCCGCGUGUGUGAAGAAGGUCUUCGGAUUGUAAAGCACUUUAAGUUGGGAGGAAGGGCAUUAACCUAAUACGUUAGUGUUUUGACGUUACCGACAGAAUAAGCACCGGCUAACUCUGUGCCAGCAGCCGCGGUAAUACAGAGGGUGCAAGCGUUAAUCGGAAUUACUGGGCGUAAAGCGCGCGUAGGUGGGUUGUUAAGUUGGAUGUGAAAUCCCCGGGCUCAACCUUGGAACUGCAUUCAAAACUGACUGACUAGAGUAUGGUAGAGGGUGGUGGAAUUUCCUGUGUAGCGGUGAAAUGCGUAGAUAUAGGAAGGAACACCAGUGGCGAAGGCGACCACCUGGACUAAUACUGACACUGAGGUGCGAAAGCGUGGGGAGCAAACA